This is a long non-coding RNA of Alnus glutinosa, 620 nucleotides long. RefSeq lists it as uncharacterized. The transcript has 4 exons. Lineage: Eukaryota; Viridiplantae; Streptophyta; Magnoliopsida; Fagales; Betulaceae. The record is from RefSeq and is a predicted model, not a curated record.
CCAUUUGGCCUUUUCUAUUUUUUUUCGGAGAGGCAGUGCUUCUCCUCCUUAUUUUUCUCUUAUGAAUUUUUAUAGAAAAUCCCUGAUCUACGAAGAUCCAACGGUCCGAUCUCCGAUCCGACUUCGGUAACGUGAUCUACGAAGUCCGAUCUACGUUUCUACCGAUCGUUUUGAGAUUUUGGGUAGUUUGGAGUUGCUAGGACCUUCCCGAGCAUUUGGUCUUUGCUUAGCGAAUUUUUGUGACGCAUUGCAAGGUGGUGUUUAGAAGGCCUAGUGCUUAAUAUCCGCGCAGCCAAGACAUUGAUGCUUUGGUUGCAGGUUCUACAGAUAUAGAUAUUGACUCGUCCACCUAGCGUAUGGGAUGUUAUGAUUGGAGCACAUCGCGACAGUCAUAAGUUAUGGACUCAUGGGUAGUCCAUAUUUUGGGUAUUCUAUUUAUGGCUCGUGUCUUACGUGGUUUACGUAUUUGUUGAGCCUGUAAUUUGAUAUGUAAUUAUAGUAAAAUGUUUUAUAAGCCUUAAAUAGAUAGACAUGUAAAUGGCUCUUGUUGUUGAUAUUAACUGUGAUGUAUUAGAUGUAUUUCCGCUUAUGAUAUGUGUUCCGCUGCACAUUGAUAUUUA